GUCCACCGAGGCGCCGCUGCGCCAGGGGCAUCAUUAAGUAGCUGGGGUUGCGGUCAGAAGCGAGGCCGCCGCCUCCAGAAACUGGCACAACCCACCGUGCCACCGGCCCCAGUGCACCGCCUUCCCAUUCCUGGCGCCCCCACCCACCCUACCUCACCCAGGCACUUCACGGGGAUGACUCAGGGAGCGUCCUGAAAUUCCUCGGCACCCACAGGCGGCGCGGAGAGGGACUGUGGGCCCCAUCGUCCCCACCCCCAACGCGACGAGCGCUGGAGACCGGUCCCCAAAACACCCCCUUUCGCCACCCGGGAGGCGCAGGAUCACACGGGGGUCCCGUGGCCCAGCCCAGUGCGCAGCCGGCAGCCGGCGCGAGAACCGGCUGCUUCUUCCCACACACCGUAGCUCCACUGAAAGCCGUACCCUCAACCCGGUUUCAGAUGAGGAAUUUGCCCAGAAGUGUUCAAGGUGACAAGCAUGCAGGUGAGCUGGGAAUCCUCCCCAGCGUCUCAAACCAGGAGUGUCUCCGUCCAAGGUGGCAGAAGGGUGACACACACCCCUGGCGGCCACAGGGGGACAGCAGCGAGCCAGCUGUGUGCACCCAGGCCAGAAAAUGCUGGCAGCCACAAGGAGAUGGAUGGCCUUCACUGUCACUACCCCUGCCCCAGGAAAUCAGUAAUCACGGAGCAGGGCCUCUGACUUUAAGGGUGGGAAUUGCUCUGUGGUAGCCAUGUGGUCCCUUGUUAACUGGCUGUGUCCUGUAUGGAUGGACUGCUAAUUCCCGACUGCACGGCUAAAGCGAACCUCCCUGUGGCUGCCCUCCCCCUUCCUUCCUCCCCCUUCCUUCCUCCCCCCUCUCCCCUCAGCAGCUGCCCCACUCCCACCCCAUCAGCCUAGCUGUACAGCCUUCCCUCGCUGGGUUUCUUUCCCUCGGUUGCCAUUUUUUUUUUAAGGAAAGUUGGCCGAGAAAGGAUUUCCGACAAACUGCUAGGUGCACUCCUGGGGUUGGGGUAGGGUGGGGGCACCCUCCCCAGCUCACGAUGCUUGCCUGCCCCAGGACGGAGAAUCAAACGGCCCUCCUUCCCGGGGCUCUGCCAUUCUGGGCCUCCUAAAAGUAAAGAGCAGGGUCCCCCAGGUUUCACACCCUUGCUGAGAACCUGGGACCUCAGAAACCUUUUCAAGAACAGAGAACAUCAAGCCUGAGAUGGGCGGGGUUUCCAGAGCUGGGGGGACUGCCCGAACCAGGACACGUACGGGUGUUUGUCCACUGGCCAGACAUGCGGUCCCCGGGGCGGUUUCACAAGGGCCUCCCCGGAAACAAAACUGAAAACUUCACAGCGGCGGCUCAGGAAGGCCACAGGGUGGAUACCAGAGGCUCGCAGCGGUUAGGAAGGUGGGAGGGCAGCUUAGAGCGGCCCCCACCGAGGUCAGGUACCCGCCUGGGCCUGCACAGAUGCCAGCCCUGUCUGAAGUGAGCCCUGGAUUCGAGGUGGAGUCCUGCCUUUCGGGCCACCCUUCUGGGGUUGAGCAGGGAGAUGCAAGAUGAAAACUUAACAGUUAGGUUUCCCGUCUGACCAGCUGCUCCCACCAGAGGCGGGCGCCACCUCCUCUUAGGUCACAUGGCACCUCUACGUACAGGAGCCCUCGACUCCAGCAGACCUGGGUAAUGACUCCAGCAGACCUGGUAAUAGACACCUUCCCAAUGCAGAGGUGCUAAGCUCUGUCACGGAGUGUCCUCCGGGCCUCCUGGUGAGAGGCAGGCGGUGACCAGCACUACCCAGGAGUCAGGAGACCCAAGAAUGUUAAUUAACCUGCCAUGGGGGCGGGGGUGGGGGGGUCAGAAAUCGGGAACACAUAAGCCUGACAUAGACAGUGGCUUACACCUGGCAGCAUUCUGGCAGGACCCUAAGACACCUUCUGCAGUUUGUCACCUCAGGUACUCCAGAGUCUGAGGUGAGGUUGGGGAGGGCAGCUGGGGUCCUCUGGUCAGAUUCUUUCUUCGAAGCAUGGGGAAGCCCUGUGGAAGGCAGGCUGCUGGGUUUUUGGCACUUUUGCUUUCUUGAUGUCUCUGGAUGAAUACUUAGUACCCUGAAAACUAUCGGGGUUGGCAGAGGAUGGGAAGGGAUGAGAAGCAGAGAAAGGGGGUCUGCCCAGCUUCCAUCCAUCCUUACUGCCUGAGCCAUGCUCUCCAGGACUGCUGCCGCACAAGCUAUCAAGCCCUCAAAACGUCCCUGCUUUUUCUUCUCUGUCCCGCACCCAUGGGCAUUAGUCAAAGACCUGCUUAAAUCUGUGUUCCUAGGCUGGGUGUGGUGGUGUACACCUGGUUCCAGCACUUGAGAGGUAGAGGCAGGUGAAUUUCUGAGUUCGGGGCCAGCCUGACAGAGUCUACAGAAUGAGUUCCAGGACAGCCAGGGCUACACAGAGAAACCCUGUAUCAGAAAAACAACCAACAAACAAACAAUAAAAAAUUACGUUCUGCUGA
This is a long non-coding RNA of Meriones unguiculatus (Mongolian gerbil), 2479 nucleotides long. RefSeq lists it as uncharacterized. The record is from RefSeq and is a predicted model, not a curated record. The transcript has 2 exons. NCBI's taxonomy places the organism in Eukaryota, Metazoa, Chordata, Mammalia, Rodentia, Muridae.